Molecule: long non-coding RNA, 587 nt
Organism: Chelonia mydas (Green sea turtle)
Lineage: Eukaryota; Metazoa; Chordata; Testudines; Cheloniidae
Exons: 4
Source: RefSeq, a predicted model, not a curated record
AUCAGUUGCUGGUGGGGAGUAGAGGAGCAACAAAGGUGAUGUUGCUGGAGUUCAAGGGGCAGCCAGAAGGUGGGUCUGGUGAGAUUGGCAACCUGCAAGGAAGAGCUUCAGACCUGAGGUCCAGUCAACCAUGCCCACAGCUCAGCAUUUACAGUCUUUCAAACCAGAGACCGCAGCCUCAGCUAGAAACCAGGCAGACCUUCCUCAUCCCGUGUUUGCUGUUAACAGAAGCACUCAUGUAAAAGCAGAGUGUGACUAGGCUGGAGGGUUGAGUCACUGAAGACCGACCUGAUCAGCGCAGUGGCCAACUGGGACAACAUGAGCAGAGGAAACCGAGGAAAAAACUGCAGGCAUGCACACGCUCGACCAGGAGGUGCUCGUGAGAGAUCCAGCUGGCAUCUUCUGGGAGAUGUGUAUUUGAGCUCCUGUGAUGGCCCGACUGACACAAGUCCCACAUUUAUGCUCCAUUACUCAUCCUACAUUGUAAAGAAGAAAGUUGUUUCACUCUAUGCUUUUCUCUGGGCAGUUGUAAUUCUUCAGCUCAGUAGCUUUAAAUUUAUUCAGCCUAGCUGGAUGCUAUCAGUUUA